Molecule: long non-coding RNA, 383 nt
Filed under: Cricetulus griseus (Chinese hamster)
Lineage: Eukaryota; Metazoa; Chordata; Mammalia; Rodentia; Cricetidae
Description: lncRNA (ENSCGRG00015032881.1)
Source: RNAcentral
GGAGAUUGAAGCUGUAGCAGCAAAAAUAUUUGGGGGGGGGCAUUAUUUGAAAAAUAUUUAAAGUCAUACACAUCCCUUGUAUACCAUUGGAAUUUUUUCCAUUCCAUGUAGGCUGACAACAAUUAGAAGAGAAACAUUCCACUGCAAAAAGAGAUCUCAGUGACAGAAUACAUCAUUUCCCUACAGUAAACAACAAUGGAUCUCCUUCCUUUUCAUAGCAUCAGCAAAUUGUGAUUCUGUUGUUCUUAUCUGGACAACUGGGAACUAGGCCUAUAAACAAGCCUGUAUCCCGAACAGCACUUCCACAGUGGGCACAUGGGCCAGAGGAAGCUUAUAUCACAUAUCCAUGGAAAAAGAUCCUGAGUGCCCUGGAGACUUAUUUU